GCUGCUGUAGGGUAGGAGGAGAGAGGUGUUACCUUAUCAGCUGCCUCCUCUCCCAUCCUCUCCUUCUGCAGCAGC
Coturnix japonica (Japanese quail) is the source of this 75-nucleotide microRNA precursor. Lineage: Eukaryota; Metazoa; Chordata; Aves; Galliformes; Phasianidae. The record is from Ensembl.